This 370-nucleotide long non-coding RNA is filed under the name Monodelphis domestica (gray short-tailed opossum). Its description in RNAcentral is "lncRNA (ENSMODG00000039179.1)". The record is from RNAcentral. Lineage: Eukaryota; Metazoa; Chordata; Mammalia; Didelphimorphia; Didelphidae.
UACAAAUGUAGGAUCAACAGGACUUGGCACCAGGUUGGAUAUGAAGGAUGAGAGAGCAAGGAGUCCAAGAUGAUACCUGAGGUAAAAACCUAGAGAGAAGAAAAUAUUAAGAAGAGAUUAAGAAGAUGAUUGACAAUGUCAAAGUCAGCAAAGAGGCCAAGAAGGAUGAAGACUGAGAAAAGGGAAAUAUGUGACAAGGUUCUUAGCUAAGAGGGUGGUAGGGUGGUGGAGAAGGAGCCGUAAGAAGUUGGAAGAAGAAUGAAAAGCUUUGGAAGAACAACUGUGAUUGAAGAUUUGAUGGUGACAAAGAAAGAAUUAACAAAAAACCUAAUAAAGAAACCAGAAUGAUGUGCAUGAUAUUUUCCUCUGG